GUUCGUAGUGACUGCGGAGGAUCAUUAGUGAAUUGAGCUGGCUUCGGCCGCUCUGAUCUAUACACACCUGUGAACUGUUGGCCUUCGGGUCUUUAAUUACAACUGUGACGAACGUAAAUUAUUAUAACAAAUAAAACUUUUAACAACGGAUCUCUUGGCUCUCGCAUCGAUGAAGAACGCAGCGAAAUGCGAUAAGUAAUGUGAAUUGCAGAAUUCAGUGAAUCAUCGAAUCUUUGAACGCACCUUGCGCCCGUUGGUAUUCCGACGGGCAUGCCUGUUUGAGUGUCGUGAACAACCUCAACCUUGAUUGGUUUUACUAAUCAAGGCUUGGACUUGGGUGUUGCUGCUGCAAAGUGGCUCGCCUUAAAACUAUUAGCUGGACUUGUCUAUGACUUGGUUCGACUCGAUGUAAUAAGUAUUCAUCGGGGACAGGGUAACACCUGGCCAAGGCUUGAUGCCGUCUGCUUCUAAUCAUGUUCUCACUAUGAGACGCUACUUUACUGUGUGGCCUCAAAUCAGGUAGGAUUACCCGCUGAACUUAAGCAUAUCAAUAAGCGGAGGAAAAGAAACUAACAAGGAUUCCCCUAGUAACGGCGAGUGAAGCGGGAUGAGCUCAAAUUUGUAAUCUGGUGGACUCAGUUCAUCCGAAUUGUAAUCUAUAGAAAAGUUUUCCGCGCUGGACCGUGUCUAAGUCCCUUGGAACAGGGUGUCAGAGAGGGUGAGAAUCCCGUGCUUGAUACGACCACCAGUGCUAUGUGAUACUUUUUCAACGAGUCGAGUUGUUUGGGAAUGCAGCUCAAAAUGGGUGGUAAAUUCCAUCUAAAGCUAAAUAUUGGCGAGAGACCGAUAGCGAACAAGUACCGUGAGGGAAAGAUGAAAAGCACUUUGGAAAGAGAGUUAAACAGUACGUGAAAUUGUUAAAAGGGAAACGAUUGAAGUCAGUCGUGCUCUCUAGGACUCAGCCAGUUCUUCUGGUGUAUUUCCUAGUGAGCGGGUCAACAUCAGUUUAGAUCGCUGGAUAAGGUCAUUAGGAAUGUGGCUCCCUCGGGAGUGUUAUAGCCUAGUGUCGCAUACAGUGGUUUAGACUGAGGAACGCAGCUCGCCUUUAUGGCCGGGGUUCGCCCACGUCCGAACUUAAGAAUGUUGACAUAAUGGGCUUUAAACGACCCG
Molecule: ribosomal RNA, 1170 nt
Filed under: Holtermanniella takashimae
Lineage: Eukaryota; Fungi; Basidiomycota; Tremellomycetes; Holtermanniales
Description: eukaryotic LSU rRNA
Rfam family: Eukaryotic large subunit ribosomal RNA (bases 506-1170)
Source: RNAcentral